UUUGGAUACAUCCAAUCUAAGCUAAGCUAAGCAAGGUCAGAUCUGGUUAGUACUUGGAUGAAAGACCACCAUGGAAUAUUAGAGGCCUCCAGAU
RNAcentral lists this ribosomal RNA (94 nucleotides) under Pogona vitticeps (central bearded dragon). Lineage: Eukaryota; Metazoa; Chordata; Lepidosauria; Squamata; Agamidae. The record is from RNAcentral.